UUUGAGUGAUUUUUAUAAUGCUUAGGCUGAACUUUUGUUUGGCCAACAAACUAUUAAACAUUUGUGGGUAUAAAAUUGAAAAAUUUAAAACUUUCAACAACGGAUCUCUUGGUUCUCGCAUCGAUGAAGAACGCAGCGAAACGCGAUAUGUAAUGUGAAUUGCAGAAUGUGAAUCAUCGAAUCUUUGAACGCACAUUGCGCUCUCUGGUAUUCCAGAGAGCAUACCUGUUUGAGCGUCAGUUCAUUCUCAAAGGAAACUUUGGUAUUGGCUGAAUAAGAGUAUUGGCUGAAAGAUAUUGGUUAGAACGAUGUAAUAAGAUUUCAUCUAGCUAACUUUAUAAAAAAUCUUUUUAAGUUGACCUCAAAUCAGGUAAGAUU
RNAcentral lists this ribosomal RNA (378 nucleotides) under Sugiyamaella sp. BG090815.8.6.1.2.21. RNAcentral's name for it is "eukaryotic LSU rRNA". The stretch from base 89 to 239 matches the Rfam family "5.8S ribosomal RNA". The record is from RNAcentral. Lineage: Eukaryota; Fungi; Ascomycota; Dipodascomycetes; Dipodascales; Trichomonascaceae.